Molecule: unclassified non-coding RNA, 384 nt
Filed under: fungal sp.
Lineage: Eukaryota; Fungi
Description: partial internal transcribed spacer region
Rfam family: Eukaryotic small subunit ribosomal RNA (bases 1-46)
Source: RNAcentral
AAGUCGUAACAAGGUUUCCGUAGGUGAACCUGCGGAAGGAUCAUUAACACGUAUCCAACGUUAAACAACCCUGUGAACUUUCAGCCUGCUCUUGUAACCAUGAGGAACAGCAAUCCCGGUAAAUCAUUGCAAACAGUUUUAAAGGUGUUACAAUUGAGCGGUAGAGGCAGUGGCAUGGCUUCCCCAAGCAGUUAGUGAAUGACAGUGUCACUGAUUGUGUAAGGAUAACGCCUCACGGUUGCCAGAGGUCGAUCACCGACCGGCAGACAUGUCACAGGGUCACCACGCCCCUUAAUCACCCCAAUUUGAAAUUGCUCCUACCUGGUGGUAACGCACUGGGUCAAAAAAACCGAACAACUGUUAACAAUGGAUAUCUUGGUUCUC